Amphiprion ocellaris (clown anemonefish) is the source of this 1442-nucleotide long non-coding RNA. NCBI's taxonomy places the organism in Eukaryota, Metazoa, Chordata, Actinopteri, Pomacentridae. The record is from Ensembl.
CUUGGCGCUGAGAGGAAGUGCAGACGACGCAUGUAGUUUGACUGACGAACGGCGGAAAAAUAAAUAUGGAAAACGUGGAGGAGUUAAGGAGAGUGUUCAACAAGAACUUUUAGCAAUUGCUCAGUAUGUGGAAGAAAAUGUUCAGCCGGACUACAUUCUGAGGAUGGUAGAAGAUGUCAGCAAAAGUCAUGGGCAAAUAUCUGCUCUGACCGAUACAGACAUUGAUCCGGUUGUGUGGCACACUCUUGAAGAGGUACGCAUGCAACUAAGUCUUGCAGCCAGGCCAUCAGACCUGGGCGACGUCCACUGGAAGUCCAGGUGGACAUAAUGGAGUCCUACAUUCUUGCAGGAUUAUCAGCUGUCAAAAUAGCUGAACUGUUUGGAGUGUCAGUUAGAACCAUAAGAAGGAGAAUGGCAUCCCAUGGCUUGAGAUGCCGAAUCGUGAUCCAUGCAGGAGUGGAUGGAUUUAGCAGGCUCAUAGUUUAUAUAGGAGCAGCUACAAACAACAAAUCCACCACUGUUCUGGACAGUUUCAGGUCAGCUGUUGCUCAGUAUGGCUUACCAUCUCGUGUAAGAUCUGAUAAGAAUUGAAAGAUUAUGGAGAGACGUGUAUGGAAAUGUCCUCGACUUGUUCCAUACACUAUUUCUCAAUUUGGAAUUGGAAGGGUUUCUAAACCCUGACAAUGAACUGGAGUUAUUCGCUCUCCACUGGAUCUACGUCCCACAGCUGCAGCAGCAUCUUCAGGCAUUCAAGGAAGCCUGGAAUCACCAUAGUUUGAGGACAGAGAGAGGGCAAUCCCCCAUGCAACUGUGGCUUAGUCAGCCACGGGAGGGAAAUGCUGCUGAUCCAGUUGAGGUUGCUGCUGAUUAUGGAAUAGACUGGACAGGACCUCACACCCCAUACCCAGAGGGUGUCACUGUACCUGAUGCACAACUACCCCAGCAGCUUACCCAAGCUGAAGUUACGUCAUUGUCUGAUCCGGCAGUCCCUUUUUCUGCUGCACUACGGGCGUACAUGGAUACAGUGUAUAUUCUUAAGGACAUUUUUCAACAAACCUAGGCCUAUCACAACUCACCUUAACAUGAUCAGAAUGAAACCGUUUGAAAUGGUCGAACAAGACUUGAAAGAAUGCUGCAAAUUUUUGGUGCAUAAUUUUAUGACCAGUUGUGAAUUUCAAAUAAAUGCCUGUGAAAACAAAAAUGUAAAAAAACAAGACACAACAAAGGGAUACAAAACUGCUUUUAUUGCAUGCUGAAUAAUUUGACAGCUUUUAAAAGCAUUAAAACAAUGUGCAAAUAAAAAUUUUUUUUAAUAGAACUGAUAAUUCUUUUCUUUAACUUCCACACAUUUAUAUUACAACUGUUUCCCAAACACAGUCUUCUCCAAGUGUGGAAACAUUUUGUUGUCACAGUUCAGAAAUGCACAAACCUGAACCAUAGUU